RNAcentral lists this ribosomal RNA (584 nucleotides) under Atherinops affinis (topsmelt silverside). Its description in RNAcentral is "partial 16S ribosomal RNA". It matches the Rfam family "Bacterial large subunit ribosomal RNA", at positions 1814 to 2603 of the family's 2925-position model. Lineage: Eukaryota; Metazoa; Chordata; Actinopteri; Atheriniformes; Atherinopsidae. The record is from RNAcentral.
CAUCGCCUCUUGUCCACUAUAUAUAAGAGGUCCCGCCUGCCCUGUGACUUUACGUUUAACGGCCGCGGUAUUUUGACCGUGCAAAGGUAGCGCAAUCACUUGUCUUUUAAAUGGAGACCUGUAUGAAUGGCAUAACGAGGGCUUAACUGUCUCCUUCCUCCAGUCGAUGAAAUUGAUCUCCCCGUGCAGAAGCGGGGCUACACACAUAAGACGAGAAGACCCUGUGGAGCUUUAGACCCGGGGUAAGACCAUGUCAAGAAUAUCGGAUAAACGACUUGAACCAAUUGGACCCUUCCCUAAUGUCUUUGGUUGGGGCGACCGCGGGGAAACAAAAAACCCCCAUGUGGAAUGGAAACACCUCAUUUUCCAGAACCAAGAGCCACAGCUCUAAGCAACAGAAAAUCUGACCUAUAAGAUCCGGCAAAGCCGAUCAACGGACCCAGUUACCCCAGGGAUAACAGCGCAAUCCUCUUUUAGAGCCCAUAUCGACAAGGGGGUUUACGACCUCGAUGUUGGAUCAGGACAUCCUAAUGGUGCAGCCGCUAUUAAGGGUUCGUUUGUUCAACGAUUAAAGUCCUACGUGA